GAUGAACGCUAGCGGCAGGCCUAAUACAUGCAAGUCGGACGGGAUCCCUCGGUAGCUUGCUAUCCAUGGUGAGAGUGGCGCACGGGUGCGUAACGCGUGAGCAACCUGCCUCCAUCAGGGGGAUAGCCUCUCGAAAGAGAGAUUAACACCGCAUAACAUAUCAGACCGGCAUCGGUCGGAUAUCAAAUAUUUAUAGGAUGGAGAUGGGCUCGCGUGACAUUAGCUUGUUGGUGGGGUAACGGCCCACCAAGGCGACGAUGUCUAGGGGCUCUGAGAGGAGACUCCCCCACACUGGUACUGAGACACGGACCAGACUCCUACGGGAGGCAGCAGUAAGGAAUAUUGGUCAAUGGGCGGAAGCCUGAACCAGCCAUGCCGCGUGCAGGAUGACUGCCCUAUGGGUUGUAAACUGCUUUUGGCCGGGAAUAAACCUCCUUACGUGUAGGGAGCUGAAUGUACCGGAAGAAUAAGGAUCGGCUAACUCCGUG
RNAcentral lists this ribosomal RNA (488 nucleotides) under uncultured bacterium. Its description in RNAcentral is "partial 16S ribosomal RNA". It matches the Rfam family "Bacterial small subunit ribosomal RNA", at positions 28 to 507 of the family's 1533-position model. The record is from RNAcentral.